Molecule: ribosomal RNA, 282 nt
Filed under: uncultured Staphylococcus sp.
Lineage: Bacteria; Bacillati; Bacillota; Bacilli; Caryophanales; Staphylococcaceae
Description: partial 16S ribosomal RNA
Rfam family: Bacterial small subunit ribosomal RNA
Source: RNAcentral
CUCCUUUGACGUUAGCGGCGGACGGGUGAGUAACACGUGGGUAACCUACCUAUAAGACUGGGAUAACUUCGGGAAACCGGAGCUAAUACCGGAUAAUAUUUCGAACCGCAUGGUUCGAUAGUGAAAGGUGGUUUUGCUAUCACUUAUAGAUGGACCCGCGCCGUAUUAGCUAGUUGGUAAGGUAACGGCUUACCAAGGCGACGAUACGUAGCCGACCUGAGAGGGUGAUCGGCCACACUGGAACUGAGACACGGUCCAGACUCCCUACGGGAGGCAGCAGCU